This 443-nucleotide ribosomal RNA is filed under the name uncultured bacterium. RNAcentral's name for it is "partial 16S ribosomal RNA". It matches the Rfam family "Bacterial small subunit ribosomal RNA", at positions 338 to 795 of the family's 1533-position model. The record is from RNAcentral.
CCUACGGGAGGCAGCAGUGGGGAAUAUUGAGCAAUGGGCGCAAGCCUGACCCAGCAACGCCGCGUGAAGGAAGAAGGCUUUCGGGUUGUAAACUUCUUUUCUCAGGGACGAAGCAAGUGACGGUACCUGAGGAAUAAGCCUCGGCUAACUACGUGCCUGCAGCCGCGGUAAUACGUAGGUGGCAAGCGUUAUCCGGAUUUACUGGGUGUAAAGGGGGUGUAGGCGGGGACGCAAGUCAGAUGUGAAAACCACGGGCUCAACCUGUGGCCUGCAUUUGAAACUGUGUGUCUUGAGUACUGGAGAGGCAGACGGAAUUCGUGGUGUAGCGGUGAAAUGCGUAGAUAUUAGGAGGAACACCAGUGGCGAAGGCGGUCUGCUGGACAGCAACUGACGCUGAGGCGCGAGAGCGUGGGGAGCAAACAGGAUUAGAUACCCGGGUAGUC